This 253-nucleotide ribosomal RNA is filed under the name uncultured bacterium. Its description in RNAcentral is "partial 16S ribosomal RNA". It matches the Rfam family "Bacterial small subunit ribosomal RNA", at positions 524 to 776 of the family's 1533-position model. The record is from RNAcentral.
UACGAAGGGGGCUAGCGUUGCUCGGAAUCACUGGGCGUAAAGCGCACGUAGGCGGAUUGCUAAGUCAGGGGUGAAAUCCUGGAGCUCAACUCCAGAACUGCCCUUGAUACUGGCGGUCUCGAGUCCGGGAGAGGUGAGUGGAACUGCGAGUGUAGAGGUGAAAUUCGUAGAUAUUCGCAAGAACACCAGUGGCGAUGGCGGCUCACUGGCCCGGUACUGACGCUGAGGUGCGAAAGCGUGGGGAGCAAACAGG